ACGGACGCUGGCGGCGUGCUUAACACAUGCAAGUCGAACGGAAAGGCCCUGCUUUUGUGGGGUGCUCGAGUGGCGAACGGGUGAGUAACACGUGAGUAACCUGCCCUUGACUUUGGGAUAACUUCAGGAAACUGGGGCUAAUACCGGAUAGGAGCUCCUGCUGCAUGGUGGGGGUUGGAAAGUUUCGGCGGUUGGGGAUGGACUCGCGGCUUAUCAGCUUGUUGGUGGGGUAGUGGCUUACCAAGGCUUUGACGGGUAGCCGGCCUGAGAGGGUGACCGGCCACAUUGGGACUGAGAUACGGCCCAGACUCCUACGGGAGGCAGCAGUGGGGAAUAUUGCACAAUGGGCGGAAGCCUGAUGCAGCAACGCCGCGUGCGGGAUGACGGCCUUCGGGUUGUAAACCGCUUUCGCCUGUGACGAAGCGUGAGUGACGGUAAUGGGGAAAGAAGCACCGGCUAACUACGU
This 466-nucleotide ribosomal RNA is filed under the name uncultured bacterium. Its description in RNAcentral is "partial 16S ribosomal RNA". It matches the Rfam family "Bacterial small subunit ribosomal RNA", at positions 29 to 506 of the family's 1533-position model. The record is from RNAcentral.